UCUGAAUAAAACACUUGAAUACAACAAAAGUACAACUGAAUACAGCUGAAUAAAUUCUUGAAUACAACAAAAUACAACUAUCUUCUGCUGAAUAAAAUAGUUGAAUAUAACUAAUUACAACUGAAUACAGUUGUAUAAAACACCUGAAUACAACUAACUACUGCUGAAUAAAAUAAUUAAAUACAACUGAUUAAACCUGAAUACAAGUGAAUACAGCUGAAAUAUACAUUCGAAUAUAACUGAAUAUAAAUAGGCGUUGGGCGAUCUAGAGAGAGAAAUAGCCUUAUGGCUUCGCGGCGACCAACCAAUUCCGGCUGGUCAGCCCCUUAAAAGCUCACCCAGUAGCACCAGUAACUUCUCUAGAUAUCUUCAUCUUCUUGGUGAUUCCUUUAUACAAAUCCUCCAAACUACAAGGCAACGUCCGCUCAAUCAGAGCAGCCUUUCGUUGCACAUUACUUGAUGCACCUUCACCGGCAGCAUUCCUGAAAGAAGUAAAAAUAUCUUCACCAAACAUACCCCUAGGAAAACUUGAACCACCUGCCCCUCCACUACCCAUAUCUAUCAAAAUCAACGAAUUAAACUUACUCUAAGCGAUAGUAAUAGAGUGAUAAUGGAGGAGAACCAAAAAAUUUGGGUGGGAGAAAGGUGUGAAUCUUGGGUUGAGGAAGAAAGAGUAAAGUGUACGCAGAGAGAAAGAAUAUGGUUAGUCAAUUUUAUAGUGAUUAUGUGAGAAAAAAGAUUAAAAAAGAGAGAAAAAAAUUUAUUUAGCAUAAUAGUGCCUUAAAAGUAGGAUAUAACUAUAAUUAAAUAUUUGGCUAUAAAGUGUAAAAGAUAUUUAUAGUAAAUAAUAAAUUAAAAUAGUAUUUAUUUAAAAUAAAUAAGAAACUAAAGCUUUCUCUAACAAAUGCUAAGGCCUGAUAAAAAUGACAAAGUAUCAAAUAUCUAAUGAACCGAUCAUAUUCCAAGAAAAAAAAAUGAGAACAAUGAAAGAAUAGACAUAAACCUCAAAACAAAGUAAUUUUGAAUCUAAAAAUGUUUUAACACCGACAAAUUUGGACAGCUACAAACUCGAUGAAACCGCAAAUGUACCUAAAAACCUCAGAAAGACAACCUCGACGUACGACUGGACCAAAGACCUCCUCACGGAUCUUGAUGGGGAUUUCAAACUCCAUCCAUUUUGAAACAAGACUCAAAAUUGAAGUGUAGAAGCAGUAUAGUUAUUUUUUCUUUUGUGUGUAUAUUGUUUUGUCUUGAAUCCGAAAAUUAGAAAAAGAAAAUUAAAAGCAAACCAAAACCAUAAUCCCCAGUAUCUUUUCUUCCUUUAUUUUUUCGAAAUCAUUUGCUCUCGUCCUCUUAACCUCUCUGCUUUUCCUUUUUUUUUUGUGCGUGUGUGGUGUUCGAAGAUGAGGUGAGAGUGGUCGUCGACUGCUGCUGGGUGUGCGGCUGGAGAUGGAGAAAUGGCGGGUGGAGGGAUGAGGGGUGUGUAAGAUGAUCUUUUGAGGGGUCCUUGAGUUAAUGAAAUUAGGUCUGGUGAAGAGAAAAAGAAGAAGCAGCAUGGGUGGCGGUUGUGGAUGGCGGAAGCUCCUCCUCCUCUCUUGCUGCUGAAGAAGGUGAAAGUUGUUGUGUGUGUAGGUGUGGGAAGGAAUUAAAAUUAGGUCUAGGAUUGUUUGUGGGAAGGGGAUCAGUUAUAAGGAAGGG
Molecule: long non-coding RNA, 1698 nt
Filed under: Nicotiana benthamiana
Lineage: Eukaryota; Viridiplantae; Streptophyta; Magnoliopsida; Solanales; Solanaceae
Description: long non-coding RNA (NBEN_LNC023706)
Source: RNAcentral